GCCCGGAUGGGGUAGAGGUUAUCCUCUGGGACUGUGGAUCCCAGGAGCCGGGUUCGAAUCCCGGUCCGGGCC
This is a transfer RNA of Archaeoglobus veneficus SNP6, 72 nucleotides long. It matches the Rfam family "tRNA". From Rfam's summary of the family: Transfer RNA (tRNA) molecules are approximately 80 nucleotides in length. Their secondary structure includes four short double-helical elements and three loops (D, anti-codon, and T loops). Further hydrogen bonds mediate the characteristic L-shaped molecular structure. tRNAs have two regions of fundamental functional importance: the anti-codon, which is responsible for specific mRNA codon recognition, and the 3' end, to which the tRNAs corresponding amino acid is attached (by aminoacyl-tRNA synthetases). tRNAs cope with the degeneracy of the genetic code in two manners: having more than one tRNA (with a specific anti-codon) for a particular amino acid; and 'wobble' base-pairing, i.e. permitting non-standard base-pairing at the 3rd anti-codon position. NCBI's taxonomy places the organism in Archaea, Methanobacteriati, Methanobacteriota, Archaeoglobi, Archaeoglobales, Archaeoglobaceae. The record is from Rfam.